This 958-nucleotide long non-coding RNA is filed under the name Scleropages formosus (Asian bonytongue). Its description in RNAcentral is "lncRNA (ENSSFOG00015026934.1)". The record is from RNAcentral. Lineage: Eukaryota; Metazoa; Chordata; Actinopteri; Osteoglossiformes; Osteoglossidae.
CGCGCAACACCGGCCCGAACUGAAGGGCCUCGUUUCGCGUGUUCGCUCCGUUCGGUCUGCGCUGACGUCAGGAGUCCCGGAGCAGCCGGGCCCUUGUUCUCGAGACGCUCGUUUCGGGAAAGUAGUUAAAGUUCCGCGGCUCCGGCGUCUCGUCAUCGUGAAAUUAGAUAAAGGGAUCAACUCCCCUUUAAACGCCUCCAAAGGUCACGGCGCAAAACCGGGAAAUCAAAAGCCUCAAAUGCCUCGGCGUCUCCGGCGCGCUGUCGGUGCGACUCGCAAGCGGCGACACGCAGGCAGCGCUGCAUUGUGGGUAGGCGGGAUGACAGGUUAUUUAGGGCUGUUUUGAAAGCCGAGCCCCAGGAGCGCCUAGAGGAUACACUGAUCCUUCAGCGUCACCAGGAAGUUUCUUAAGUGAGAUGGACCGUGAGCUCUACGGUUGGCACCGGGUGCGGGGGAUGAGACGAGCGACGCCUGAGGACCCCUCGCUGGGACCGAGAUGAGGACGAUGGCGACGACGGCAACGAUGGCUGCCCGGGCCCGGCUCUUCCGGGAGGCAAACAGCAAGCGGCAGAGAAAAAGUUUCGAGGGACGUCAACGAUGUUGGGUGCGGCUGCAGGGCGGCGCGGCGGCGCGGCGGCGCCUCUCGAUGGCCGAGAACGUGGCAGAAACUUCCGGCGAGAGAUGAGGAGACAAAUCGCACGAGAGCUCAUAGAGCGCGAGAUGCUCAUCUUCUGAGACGACUUGUAGCGAUGAUGCCGACGGUGGACUAGGGGUUAGGGCUGUCAUCCACGAGCCUGCAGGCUAUGGGUUCAAAUCCCACCUCCUGUUGUCGUACCCUUGGUUGAGGUGCUAACCUUGAACUGACAGUGUCAAUAAUUUCACUUCUCCCUGAUCUCCUAAGUGCCUGAUGUACAUUUAUUCCUGUUUAUCAUUAUUAUUACCAACCGAUAGGUUUUAG